UACCAAAAAAUCAGUAGUAAUAAAACACUAGCAUAAAACACUAGCACUAGUCAUAACACAUAGAAUCUUCUGUAGCACCCGGAUUUAAGAAAAAAAUCAGUUACACACCAUAUAUGAGCUCAAAUCUCACAUAUAGCUACAAAUAGGGGUAAUAUCAAUAGACAAUGCUUAAUAUAUAACGGACUUAAUUUAAAGAUAUAACCUUAGAUAGCAAAC
Molecule: long non-coding RNA, 216 nt
Filed under: Sorghum bicolor (sorghum)
Lineage: Eukaryota; Viridiplantae; Streptophyta; Magnoliopsida; Poales; Poaceae
Description: long non-coding RNA (SBIC_LNC014933)
Source: RNAcentral